CACCGCGGUUACACGAGUGGCACAAAUUAAUGUUUAACAGCAUUAAGGGUGAUUAAGAAACUCCUCACUACUACUAAAGAUUAAACCUCAUUAAGCUGUCAUACGCUUACAUGCUCAAAAAAUUACACUCACGAAAGUAACUUUAAGUAUACAGAAAAUCCGACCUCACGAAAGUUAAGACC
RNAcentral lists this ribosomal RNA (182 nucleotides) under Hexatrygon bickelli (sixgill stingray). Its description in RNAcentral is "partial 12S ribosomal RNA". Lineage: Eukaryota; Metazoa; Chordata; Chondrichthyes; Myliobatiformes; Hexatrygonidae. The record is from RNAcentral.